Molecule: long non-coding RNA, 2259 nt
Organism: Ficedula albicollis (Collared flycatcher)
Lineage: Eukaryota; Metazoa; Chordata; Aves; Passeriformes; Muscicapidae
Source: Ensembl
UCUGGGGGGGGCAUGGGGUGCUGAUGACCCCUCUGUGCCCAGUGCUGGAGCCCCAGCCUGCGGAGAGCUCGGCUCGGAGGAUGGUGCUCAUCAAAACCAUCGAGACACGGGACGGGCAGCAAGUGGUGACAGAGUCGCACAAGGAGCGAGCGGGGAAGUGACAGAGAGGAGCUGCUGCGAUGGCCCCGACCCCACGGCGGGGGUUUUGCCAAACCCUGCUGCGUCCUGGGCGGGGAAUGGAGCAAAGCAGGGGGGCUGGGAGUGCCCCAAUUCCCAUUCCUGCUGUCAGCACCACGGGACAACGCUGUGGUGUGUCCCUGUGCCUUUGCAGUGUGUCCCUGUGCCUUGUCCCCACACUAUUUAUUGCCUAUUUAUUAUCCUCCCAACCACAUUCCCAGCUCUAUUCCAUAUCGAGUGUUCCCCACGCUGCCUUGAGGCCGGGGGAGUCCCGGCUUCCCUCCUGCCCCCAGAGCUGGCACCGGCUGCCCCCGGGCUUGGAGGGUCUGGUGACAUCCAUGCACUGUCCCCUCUGGUGUCACUGCCCGGGGGAGUGGAGCAGAAUGGGAAGCAGCGCCCGGCUGAGGGGGGGAUCUGCGUCCCCAGGGCACUGCUCUUCCCCCCCCCCCCCCCUGCGUCCCCAGGGCGCUGCUCUUAUUUUGGGGGGGUCUCACCUCCCCUCUCGUCACUGAAACCGGCACCGGCUGCCGCCGGGGUUGGCGGAUCCCAAGCUCUGUCCCCUCUGGUGUCGCUGCCCGGGGGAGUGGGGCAGAAAGGGAAGCAGCUCCCGGCUGUGGGGGGAUCUGCGUCUCCAGGGCCCCUCUCCAUCACUACCACUCCCAUUUUGGGGGGGGGGUCUCACCUCCCCUCCCAUCACCCAAGACUUCCUCUGGUGUCACCGCCUCGGGGAAGGACGCAGGAAGGAGCCUCAACCCCGCUCCUUCCCGGGACCCCGCGACUUCCAGAGGACCCGGAGGGCUCCAGGCUCACGGAGUGUCCGGUCGGAGCGGGAUCGGUGCUCCCGAACCACCGGGGACCGGAGCGGCACCGCCGGGAGCGCCGCGCUCAUUCCCCACCGGCACCACCAGGGGGCGCCACCGGCCCGGCCCAAUCGCUGCCGCGCGUUAAUUACGUAUUAAUUGCCUAUUAAUUACGGGUUAAUUACAGCGCGACGAGCCUCUGGAAGUGCGGGGAAACACCCUGAUUUCUAUAAUUACGUUAUAUCAAGCAUUUUUUUUUUUUGCAUGAUUAAGUGCGUUACUUCAAGCAAAUUAUGCAAAAUUGCGCCCGUGCAACAUUUGCGUGUUAGUUUUGCUAUUUUAAGCAAAUUUUUGCACUGUUUCAUGAUUUUCAGCAUUUUUUCGCGUCACUGAUUGAAUUGUUUAAAGCAAAUUUUGCACAAUUGCGUUAUUUAAACAAAUCUUGCACACAUAGUUGCAUUAUUUAAGCAAAUGUUGCACUAUUGCAUUUUAAGUAUUUUUUGCAUCAAUUGGGUUCAGUUUUUGCAUUACUGUGUUAUAGCAAAUUAUUAAAAAUUGCAUCAUUUCAUGGAAUUUUGGCAUCAUUAAUUGCAUUAUUUUAUGCAAUUUUCUCACCAGUAAUUACAUGAACAAAAUAAUAUAAAAUCGCAUUAUUUUAAGCUUUUUUCCUGAUUAAUUACGUUAUCUUAGGCAUUUUUUUUUGCGUGAAAAUUGAAUUAUUUUAACCUAUUUUUGGCAUCAUGAAUAGCACUAUUUUAAGCCGCUUGCAUGAUUUGAAGCGCUAAUUGCGAUAUCGCUCACUCUGGGUCACGGCAACACCGCAGGAACAGCCCCGGAUCCCUGACCGGGGGUGGGGGAGCCGCUGCUCGGGGGGGUUUCGGUCACAGAGGACCAAGGAGUGUCCAGGGGUGACAAACACACAGUCCCAGUCCCCUGAGAAAGGGUUUAAUGAGGGGAGGGGGGUGGGCACUGCUGGUGCUCUCACAGACAGGAGGUCCGGGGGGACAGACGGACACACAGACAGGUAUGAACACUAUGUACACGCACCCCCCGCCCCACCUCUGGGGAUCUGGAGCAGGGCUGGGGGCGCUUGCAGUCCUGCCACACUGGGAAUGGGGCUGAGGGGGAACUGGGAGCACUGGGAUGGGGCCGGGGGCUCUUUGGUUUCGGCGUUGAGGCUGCGCAGGGGCCCCCCCCCCCCCCCCCCCCCCCCCCCCCCCCCCCCCCCCCCCCCCCCCCCCCCCCCCCCCCCCCCCCCCCCCCCCCCCCCCCCCCCCCCCCC